Molecule: non-coding RNA, 80 nt
Organism: Peziza echinospora
Lineage: Eukaryota; Fungi; Ascomycota; Pezizomycetes; Pezizales; Pezizaceae
Source: the annotation of a GenBank genome assembly
UCCGUCAUGGUGUAGUGGCUAGCAUUUCAGACUCUCAACCAAGACCUCUGAGAACCCGGGUUCAAUUCCCGGUGACGGAA